UGUAAUAGUGAUGAGAUGAGUUAAAGUAAACUAACUCGAACGAAUUUAACAUCUAGCACGGUAUAAAUUAACGUAUUUUUUUUUCUAACAUGACGACGCUAACAUUUUCUAAAGCAUUGAAUAAUUUUUUACUUUUAGUAAAACCUGUCUAAAGCAUUGAUUUCGUUUAACAUGAUAAUUUGGUUUACGAUGGAUUUGAAAAUUAGGUACACAGAAUGUAAAUAUUGUGGGCGUCGUUCUAGUAAAUAGAACGUUAGGUGAAGCAAAGUUCCUUCAAGUCAUUAUGGUUAAUUGUCUAUGUCCACUAUGCUCCAUUUGAUAGUUACACUAUACAUUUUUUAGUUUAUUAUGUGAUCCAAUAGAAGUUAAACAAAUAAGAUUUUUCUAAUAAGAUGCUUAAUAUAUUCGGUCAUAAUUAGCACCAUAUAAGAAGUACAACCAACUUCUUUUGAAUAUUUAUUUAAUGAAAUGGACCCUUGUGUGAUCUUAGCAUCAUUAUGAAAUAAUACGUGCUAAUAUAAUCAAAACAUUGAUGAUUCAAAUCGUUUCAUCUGCUUAAUAUAUAACCACAAGAUAACAUAAUCCACUACGUAAUACAAUGGCCGCCAGGGAUUUCAUAAUCUUAUUAAACUGUUGGACAAGUACUUAUUUACAAAAUAUGGGCUUAUAAAUUAUUUAUUCAGGCUUAUUUGGUUUUAUUCUAGUCUAUAAAAAUGUUUUAGAAAAAACAUUUCUACAAAACUGAAUCCGCACUCAACAUCAAUCAAAAUGUAUUAUUGGUUGAACCUGGAUAUUUAUAUGCUUGCUGAACAAAAACAAAACUUAAAACUCGAAAUGUACACACUGCAAUAUUAACCACACAAAGAAAAGAAUAUUCAGCUGAAAAAUAACAGUUAAGCGGAUCCUAACAAUUGACAGCCUAAAUCUUUUAUUCAACUUUAAAAUCUCCAAUCUGAUUGGAACCAGUCCGAUUAAUCCGGUCAAAAAUCCGAUGCAACCAAGUCAAUGCAAACCAGGUCAAAGAUAAAUAGGUGAUGAUGAUAUGGAUUUUGAAGUCAAGUCAAAUAAAAGUUUAAAAUUUUGGAUUAAGGUCAAUUCAACAUUUCUUGGCAAUUCUUCGUAAUUAUCUUAAUGUGCGUGUAUGUGAACACACAAAAUAUACCAUAGGUGGGAAAAAAUAAUGCAUUA
Long non-coding RNA from Brassica rapa (field mustard), 1188 nucleotides. RefSeq lists it as uncharacterized. NCBI's taxonomy places the organism in Eukaryota, Viridiplantae, Streptophyta, Magnoliopsida, Brassicales, Brassicaceae. The record is from RefSeq and is a predicted model, not a curated record.